CCUACGGGAGGCUGCAGUGGGGAAUAUUGGACAAUGGGGGCAACCCUGAUCCAGCCAUGCCGCGUGUGUGAAGAAGGCCCUCGGGUUGUAAAGCACUUUCAGUGAGGAAGAACGCCUGGUGGUUAAUACCCAUCAGGAAAGACAUCACUCACAGAAGAAGCACCGGCUAACUCCGUGCCAGCAGCCGCGGUAAUACGGAGGGUGCGAGCGUUAAUCGGAAUUACUGGGCGUAAAGCGCGCGUAGGUGGCUUGAUAAGCCGGUUGUGAAAGCCCCGGGCUCAACCUGGGAACGGCAUCCGGAACUGUCAAGCUAGAGUGCAGGAGAGGAAGGUAGAAUUCCCGGUGUAGCGGUGAAAUGCGUAGAGAUCGGGAGGAAUACCAGUGGCGAAGGCGGCCUUCUGUACUGACACUGACACUGAGGUGCGAAAGCGUGGGUAGCAAACAGGAUUAGAUACCCCGGUAGUC
RNAcentral lists this ribosomal RNA (465 nucleotides) under Vreelandella stevensii. Its description in RNAcentral is "partial 16S ribosomal RNA". It matches the Rfam family "Bacterial small subunit ribosomal RNA", at positions 338 to 795 of the family's 1533-position model. The record is from RNAcentral. Lineage: Bacteria; Pseudomonadati; Pseudomonadota; Gammaproteobacteria; Oceanospirillales; Halomonadaceae.